GACAGCAGUCGCCGCGGUAAUACGUAGGUGGCAAGCGUUGUCCGGAAUUAUUGGGCGUAAAGGGCUCGCAGGCGGUUCCAUAAGUCUGAUGUGAAAGCCCCCGGCUCAACCGGGGAGGGUCAUUGGAAACUGGGAAACUUGAGUGCAGAAGAGGAGAGUGGAAUUCCACGUGUAGCGGUGAAAUGCGUAGAGAUGUGGAGGAACACCAGUGGCGAAGGCGACUCUCUGGUCUGUAACUGACGCUGAGGAGCGAAAGCGUGGGGAGCGAACAGGAUUAGAUACCCGGGUAGUCCCUGUCUCUUAUAC
This 306-nucleotide ribosomal RNA is filed under the name uncultured bacterium. RNAcentral's name for it is "partial 16S ribosomal RNA". It matches the Rfam family "Bacterial small subunit ribosomal RNA", at positions 507 to 807 of the family's 1533-position model. The record is from RNAcentral.